GGAGGUGGGGUCCAAGAUGGACUCAAGGAAGUAGGAAUAGGAUCGCGGUCGUGGGUUAGUGGAACGCGUGGGUUGACCCGGAAGCCACAUGCAGGUCGCAUGAAGUGGGCCUACUAGUUGGGCCAUAGCGUUGGGUGCAGACUUAUUAGGCAUGCGCCUGGCCCGACUAUAUGUUGGGUGCACGUCUGGACGAAUGGGUCUGCGCAUGCGGCCGAUUCCACGUAUAGGGCCUACAGAUCUUGUGCGUGGGCAUUGCCUCGCACAGGGGUGUAUGGCCCGUGUGCGAGCACGUGCGACUUGUGCAGAGCUUUCUGUCCGCACGCUCGACGUGUCGUGAUCAUGCUGGAAGUAUUCCUAUGUGUGUGGGUGGACUUCCAUGUGCAUGUGAACCAUUGCACACGUGCCAUAGAUAAUUAUCGUGUGCCGCAUGUGUCUUCUGCUUUUUUUGUUUU
RNAcentral lists this long non-coding RNA (452 nucleotides) under Carica papaya (papaya). RNAcentral describes it as "long non-coding RNA (CPAP_LNC000574)". Lineage: Eukaryota; Viridiplantae; Streptophyta; Magnoliopsida; Brassicales; Caricaceae. The record is from RNAcentral.